GCCCCUCUGUGCCAAGGGUUUGGGCUUUUUUCCAUCACUCAGUCUCCUUCAAAGUUACCUAGACAGUACUUUUAUUUUCAGUUGGAUAUUUUGUUUGUUUUACCAGGCACCUGCUUAACAGGAAAUUGAAGAAAGGAUUUUAAAAAUAUGCAUGCAUCAGUGUUCACUUAGCAUGACGUGUUCUGCUGUGGUGCUACAAUGUGGAGCCAGACAGACUGAAGGUGGUGAAGAGAAAGUGAGGUAUCUUGCUUGAUCGAAUGGUACCAGUACUUCAGGUAUGUUUGACAGUCACUCAGUUGGUAUCUGAUUGACAUUUACUGAGUUCACUCCUAGUAAUUCAAGGGAAACCUUUUUCUCUUUUGUGUUGUGAUGCCCAUAGCCAACAGGAGCCUUGAGAUGAGUUCCUCUCCUCAGAAGUGUGAUUGCUGGCAAUGCAUUUUCAUACCGGCUUUUGGAA
Molecule: long non-coding RNA, 457 nt
Filed under: Cairina moschata (Muscovy duck)
Lineage: Eukaryota; Metazoa; Chordata; Aves; Anseriformes; Anatidae
Description: domestica (muscovy Duck (domestic type)) lncRNA (ENSCMMG00000000116.1)
Source: RNAcentral